This 157-nucleotide long non-coding RNA is filed under the name Haliotis rubra (blacklip abalone). RNAcentral describes it as "uncharacterized LOC124282173, transcript variant X1". Lineage: Eukaryota; Metazoa; Mollusca; Gastropoda; Lepetellida; Haliotidae. The record is from RNAcentral.
AUGAUAAACUACAACACUCUCAAGAAACUUGUCAUGCAUCUAUACAGGGUGUCUCAGUUCAGCAGUGAGAACCGCAUGUCACAAGAGAACCUGGCUACAUGUUUUGCUCCAUCAUUGAUGAGGACAGACGAUAUGGAGAAUGGGGCUGGCAUGGGAG